Molecule: ribosomal RNA, 418 nt
Filed under: uncultured bacterium
Lineage: Bacteria
Description: bacterial SSU rRNA
Rfam family: Bacterial small subunit ribosomal RNA
Source: RNAcentral
GGAAUAUUGGACAAUGGGCGCAAGCCUGAUCCAGCCAUGCCGCGUGCAGGAAGAAUGCCCUAUGGGUUGUAAACUGCUUUUAUUUGGGAAUAAACCUCCUUACGUGUAGGGAGCUGAAGGUACCAAAUGAAUAAGCAACGGCUAACUCCGUGCCAGCCGCCGCGGUAAUACGGAGGGUGCAAGCGUUAUCCGGAAUCAUUGGGUUUAAAGGGUCCGCAGGCGGGCUUAUAAGUCAGUGGUGAAAUCUCUCGGCUUAACCGAGAAACUGCCAUUGAUACUGUAAGUCUUGAAUUCGGUCGAAGUAGGCGGAAUGUGUCAUGUAGCGGUGAAAUGCAUAGAUAUGACACAGAACACCGAUAGCGAAGGCAGCUCACUAGGCCUGGAUUGACGCUCAGGGACGAAAGCGUGGGGAGCGAAC